GACGAACGCUGGCGGCGUGCUUAACACAUGCAAGUCGAACGGAAAGGCCCUGCUUUUGUGGGGUGCUCGAGUGGCGAACGGGUGAGUAACACGUGAGUAACCUGCCCUUGACUUUGGGAUAACUUCAGGAAACUGGGGCUAAUACCGGAUAGGAGCUCCUGCUGCAUGGUGGGGGUUGGAAAGUUUCGGCGGUUGGGGAUGGACUCGCGGCUUAUCAGCUUGUUGGUGGGGUAGUGGCUUACCAAGGCUUUGACGGGUAGCCGGCCUGAGAGGGUGACCGGCCACAUUGGGACUGAGAUACGGCCCAGACUCCUACGGGAGGCAGCAGUGGGGAAUAUUGCACAAUGGGCGGAAGCCUGAUGCAGCAACGCCGCGUGCGGGAUGACGGCCUUCGGGUUGUAAACCGCUUUCGCCUGUGACGAAGCGUGAGUGACGGUAAUGGGUAAAGAAGCACCGGCUAACUACGUGCCAGCAGCCGCGGUGAUACGUAGGGUGCGAGCGUUGUCCGGAUUUAUUGGGCGUAAAGGGCUCGUAGGUGGUUGAUCGUGUCGGAAGUGUAAUCUUGGGGCUUAACCCUGAGCGUGCUUUCGAUACGGGUUGACUUGAGGAAGGUAGGGGAGAAUGGAAUUCCUGGUGGAGCGGUGGAAUGCGCAGAUAUCAGGAGGAACACCAGUGGCGAAGGCGGUUCUCUGGGCCUUUCCUGACGCUGAGGAGCGAAAGCGUGGGGAGCGAACAGGCUUAGAUACCCUGGUAGUCCACGCUGUAAACGGUGGGUACUAGGUGUGGGGUCCAUUCCACGGGUUCCGUGCCGUAGCUAACGCUUUAAGUACCCCGCCUGGGGAGUACGGCCGCAAGGCUAAAACUCAAAGGAAUUGACGGGGCCCCGCACAAGCGGCGGAGCAUGCGGAUUAAUUCGAUGCAACGCGUAGAACCUUACCUGGGUUUGACAUGGAUCGGGAGUGCUCAGAGAUGGGUGUGCCUCUUUUGGGGUCGGUUCACAGGUGGUGCAUGGCUGUCGUCAGCUCGUGUCGUGAGAUGUUGGGUUAAGUCCCGCAACGAGCGCAACCCUUGUUCACUGUUGCCAGCACGUUAUGGUGGGGACUCAGUGGAGACCGCCGGGGUCAACUCGGAGGAAGGUGGGGAUGACGUCAAGUCAUCAUGCCCCUUAUGUCCAGGGCUUCACGCAUGCUACAAUGGCUGGUACAGAGAGUGGCGAGCCUGUGAGGGUGAGCGAAUCUCGGAAAGCCGGUCUCAGUUCGGAUUGGGGUCUGCAACUCGACCUCAUGAAGUCGGAGUCGCUAGUAAUCGCAGAUCAGCAACGCUGCGGUGAAUACGUUCCCGGGGCUUGUACACACCGCCCGUCAAGUCAUGAAAGUUGGUAACACCCGGAGCCGGUGGCCUAACCGUUGUGGGGGAGCCGUCGAAGGUGGGACUGGUGAUUAGGACUAAGUCGUAACAAGGUAGCCGUACCGGAAGG
This 1477-nucleotide ribosomal RNA is filed under the name uncultured bacterium. RNAcentral describes it as "16S ribosomal RNA". It matches the Rfam family "Bacterial small subunit ribosomal RNA". The record is from RNAcentral.